RNAcentral lists this ribosomal RNA (164 nucleotides) under uncultured bacterium. RNAcentral describes it as "partial 16S ribosomal RNA". It matches the Rfam family "Bacterial small subunit ribosomal RNA", at positions 355 to 511 of the family's 1533-position model. The record is from RNAcentral.
UAGGGAAUCUUCCACAAUGGACGCAAGUCUGAUGGAGCAACGCCGCGUGAAUGAAGAAGGGUUUCGGCUCGUAAAGCUCUGUUGUUAAAGAAGAACGUGGGUAAGAGUAACUGUUUACCCAGUGACGGUAUUUAACCAGAAAGCCACGGCUAACUACGUGUCAG